Molecule: ribosomal RNA, 236 nt
Filed under: uncultured bacterium
Lineage: Bacteria
Description: partial 16S ribosomal RNA
Rfam family: Bacterial small subunit ribosomal RNA
Source: RNAcentral
UGAGUAACCUGCCCUUAACUCUGGGAUAAGCCUGGGAAACUGGGUCUAAUACCGGAUAUGACUCCUCAUCGCAUGGUGGGGGGUGGAAAGCUUUAUUGUGGUUUUGGAUGGACUCGCGGCCUAUCAGCUUGUUGGUGAGGUAAUGGCUCACCAAGGCUUCGACGGGUAGCCGGCCUGAGAGGGUGACCGGCCACACUGGGACUGAGACACGGCCCAGACCUCCGUACGGGGAGCAG